RNAcentral lists this unclassified non-coding RNA (378 nucleotides) under plant metagenome. Its description in RNAcentral is "partial contains 5.8S ribosomal RNA, internal transcribed spacer 2, and large subunit ribosomal RNA". The stretch from base 1 to 105 matches the Rfam family "5.8S ribosomal RNA", at positions 50 to 154 of the family's 154-position model. The record is from RNAcentral.
GAAAUGCGAUAAGUAAUGUAAAUUGCAGAAUUCAGUGAAUCAUCGAAUCUUUGAACGCACCUUGCGCUCCUUGGUAUUCCUUGGAGCAUGCCUGUUUGAGUAUCAUGAAAUCUUCAAAGUAAAUCUUUUGUUAACUCAAUUGGUUUCUACUUUGGUAUUGGAGGUCUUUGCAGCUUCACACCUGCUCCUCUUUGUUCAUUAGCUGGAUCUCAGUGUUAUGCUUGGUUCCACUCGGCGUGAUAAGUUAUCUAUCGCUGAGGACACUGUAAAAGGUGGCCAAGGUAAAUGCAGAUGAACCGCUUCUAAUAGUCCAUUGACUUGGACAAUACUUUUAUGAUCUGAUCUCAAAUCAGGUAGGGAUACCCGCUGAACUUAAGC